UUAGUGGCGGACGGGUGAGUAACGCGUGGGUAACCUGCCUCAUACAGGGGGAUAACAGUUAGAAAUGACUGCUAAUACCGCAUAAGACCACAGCACCGCAUGGUGCGGGGGUAAAAACUCCGGUGGUAUGAGAUGGACCCGCGUCUGAUUAGCUAGUUGGUAAGGUAACGGCUUACCAAGGCGACGAUCAGUAGCCGACCUGAGAGGGUGACCGGCCACAUUGGGACUGAGACACGGCCCAA
RNAcentral lists this ribosomal RNA (242 nucleotides) under uncultured bacterium. Its description in RNAcentral is "partial 16S ribosomal RNA". It matches the Rfam family "Bacterial small subunit ribosomal RNA", at positions 92 to 334 of the family's 1533-position model. The record is from RNAcentral.